Molecule: long non-coding RNA, 1495 nt
Organism: Oreochromis aureus
Lineage: Eukaryota; Metazoa; Chordata; Actinopteri; Cichliformes; Cichlidae
Exons: 3
Source: RefSeq, a predicted model, not a curated record
GGGUUGUGAGGGUCUGAAGCCUAAUCCAGCUACCGAAGAGUGAGAACCCUAGACAGUGGGAGGAAGCAUGAGGAACCAGUGAGAAUCCACACAGACACAGGACAUCAUACAGAUGGCGAGUUUAAACCUAGGACCUUCCUGCUGUGAGCCAACGUGCUACCCUUUAUAUUGCCACAGAUCCACAAUACCAGACAAGUCUUGACCUCAAUUCCUGGAAGGCAGUUUGACAGUUGGACGUGAUCCACCAGCUUCUCCAUUUCCUGAAAGUCUUUCUCACACUUGCUCAAGCUGUUCAUUGAGUGACGAAAGAGAAAGCAAAGCUGUGGCAUGACUGCGCUUGAAGAGGCUGCCUUGUUGGACAUUUGGCAUUCCACUGGCACAGCAUCACAGGUCUACUUCUCCACAUAUCAGCUUGUGCAGCCCAGAUAAUACAGUGUAACCAGACCAAAAUAGACCAUUACAUUGGACCGCUGUUAGCUGCACUACCACUAAUUGUGAAUCACCCUCUUUGAUCCAAAAUUACACUUUAAUGCUUCUGAGAUAUGACGUACCACCUUUAAUCAAAUGUACAGACAAACAAAUGCCUCAGACCAGAGAAUGUAAGAGUACUUUCUGUCUGUCAUACACAACUGCCUGUACAAGGAAGCUGCUCAGUAUCACUCAACAGCUCUGAAUGACAGGAAUAACAUACAUUUCACGGAAGAGUCAUUCCUGUUUAUAUUUCUGAAGGUUGAUGUUUAACUAACACACCUUCUUUCAAACCCAAUUACAAUCAUAGACACAAAUAUACUUCAGCCAGAGCUUUUUUUUGUCAAAAAUAAAUACAAAGCUAAAUUUAUAAGGCUCAAAGAGGCCCAACAAUAUGUCAGCAGUUUUCUGUCUUCCUUCUGUAUUCCUUCAACCAAAAAUGGCAGCUGAAUGCAACAUGCACUAUGUUUUCACUCAAAACAUUUCCAAACGCUUCCAUUUAUGUAUAUUAUUCUUACUUAGAUGAUCAGACAGCAGAUGAGAUCAGGCAAACAACUCCUUGGACUAUGAUGUCUGCGAAUUGCACAGUGAUCUCAGCAUGGAUGAGAGGGAGGACAGUGGAAUAGUUAGAAUGGCCAAGGCGGAUAGGGUCAACUAUCCAAGCCAUCAGGGCAUGUGGAAGAGAAGUGAAGAAGAGCACAGAGGCAGGUCGUUGAAGAUGGCCUUCCCUUGUUCCCUCUUAGGAAGAAGCUCAAAGAGGUGGUUUAUGGAUGUGGUGAGAGAGCACAUGCAGAUGGUAGGUGUGGCAGAGGAAGAUGCAGAGGACAGGAAGAGCUGGAAACGGAUGAUGCACUGUGGUGGCCAGUAACAGGAAGAGCUUUGUUUGGGCAUGCAAUUAUACCCAUAUUUAGUAUAUUGCGGGUUUAAAAAUAUUAUUUGAAGAAAAUGUAUUUUUCCCCAUGUCUAUAUAAAUGCUUAUGCAUUCGUAAACAAAUAAAAGUGAGGCUGCAGAAAAGGUUAUCUCUAU